Molecule: ribosomal RNA, 1344 nt
Filed under: uncultured bacterium
Lineage: Bacteria
Description: 16S ribosomal RNA
Rfam family: Bacterial small subunit ribosomal RNA
Source: RNAcentral
GACGAACGCUGGCGGCGUGCUUAACACAUGCAAGUCGAACGGAAAGGCCCUGCUUUUGUGGGGUGCUCGAGUGGCGAACGGGUGAGUAACACGUGAGUAACCUGCCCUUGACUUUGGGAUAACUUCAGGAAACUGGGGCUAAUACCGGAUAGGAGCUCCUGCUGCAUGGUGGGGGUUGGAAAGUUUCGGCGGUUGGGGAUGGACUCGCGGCUUAUCAGCUUGUUGGUGGGGUAGUGGCUUACCAAGGCUUUGACGGGUAGCCGGCCUGAGAGGGUGACCGGCCACAUUGGGACUGAGAUACGGCCCAGACUCCUACGGGAGGCAGCAGUGGGGAAUAUUGCACAAUGGGCGGAAGCCUGAUGCAGCAACGCCGCGUGCGGGAUGACGGCCUUCGGGUUGUAAACCGCUUUCGCCUGUGACGAAGCGUGAGUGACGGUAAUGGGUAAAGAAGCACCGGCUAACUACGUGCCAGCAGCCGCGGUGAUACGUAGGGUGCGAGCGUUGCCCGGAUUUAUUGGGCGUAAAGGGCUCGUAGGUGGUUGAUCGCGUCGGAAGUGUAAUCUUUGGGGCUUAACCCUGAGCGUGCUUUCGAUACGGGUUGACUUGAGGAAGGUAGGGGAGAAUGGAAUUCCUGGUGGAGCGGUGGAAUGCGCAGAUAUCAGGAGGAACACCAGUGGCGAAGGCGGUUCUCUGGGCCUUUCCUGACGCUGAGGAGCGAAAGCGUGGGGAGCGAACAGGCUUAGAUACCCUGGUAGUCCACGCUGUAAACGGUGGGUACUAGGUGUGGGGUCCAUUCCACGGGUUCCGUGCCGUAGCUAACGCUUUAAGUACCCCGCCUGGGGAGUACGGCCGCAAGGCUAAAACUCAAAGGAAUUGACGGGGCCCCGCACAAGCGGCGGAGCAUGCGGAUUAAUUCGAUGCAACGCGUAGAACCUUACCUGGGUUUGACAUGGAUCGGGAGUGCUCAGAGAUGGGUGUGCCUCUUUUGGGGUCGGUUCACAGGUGGUGCAUGGCUGUCGUCAGCUCGUGUCGUGAGAUGUUGGGUUAAGUCCCGCAACGAGCGCAACCCUUGUUCACUGUUGCCAGCACGUUAUGGUGGGGACUCAGUGGAGACCGCCGGGGUCAACUCGGAGGAAGGUGGGGAUGACGUCAAGUCAUCAUGCCCCUUAUGUCCAGGGCUUCACGCAUGCUACAAUGGCUGGUACAGAGAGUGGCGAGCCUGUGAGGGUGAGCGAAUCUCGGAAAGCCGGUCUCAGUUCGGAUUGGGGUCUGCAACUCGACCUCAUGAAGUCGGAGUCGCUAGUAAUCGCAGAUCAGCAACGCUGCGGUGAAUACGUUCCCGGG